Molecule: small nucleolar RNA, 107 nt
Filed under: Sorghum bicolor (sorghum)
Lineage: Eukaryota; Viridiplantae; Streptophyta; Magnoliopsida; Poales; Poaceae
Description: Plant small nucleolar RNA R71
Rfam family: Plant small nucleolar RNA R71
About the family: R71 is a member of the C/D box family of snoRNAs containing the C (UGAUGA) and D (CUGA) box motifs. Multiple nearly identical copies of this snoRNA have been identified in Arabidopsis, and it is thought to function as a 2'-O-ribose methylation guide for 18S ribosomal RNA.
Source: Rfam by way of RNAcentral
AUUCCAUGAUGGGGACAUUCUAGUACGUAGUCUUGAAAGCGCUCCCAUGCUUCUGGAACAGAUUCAUCAUUUUGUUGCUGAAAACUUGUAAUCUUCCCACGGAGAGC